CCUACGGGAGGCAGCAGUGGGGGAUAUUGCACAAUGGGGGAAACCCUGAUGCAGCGACGCCGCGUGGGUGAAGAAGCGCCUCGGCGCGUAAAGCCCUGUCAGCAGGGAAGAAAAUGACGGUACCUGAAGAAGAAGCCCCGGCUAACUACGUGCCAGCAGCCGCGGUAAUACGUAGGGGGCAAGCGUUAUCCGGAUUUACUGGGUGUAAAGGGGGCGCAGACGGCGAUGCAAGCCAGGAGUGAAAGCCCGGGGCCCAACCCGGGGACUGCUCUUGGAACUGCGUGGCUAGAGUGCAGGAGGUGCCGGCAGAAUUCCUGGUGUAGCGGUGAAAUGCGUAGAUAUCAGGAGGAACACCGGUGGCGAAGGCGGCCUGCUGGACUGCAACUGACGUUGCGGCCCGAAAGCGUGGGGAGCAAACAGGAUUAGAUACCCGUGUAGUC
Molecule: ribosomal RNA, 440 nt
Filed under: uncultured bacterium
Lineage: Bacteria
Description: partial 16S ribosomal RNA
Rfam family: Bacterial small subunit ribosomal RNA
Source: RNAcentral